RNAcentral lists this ribosomal RNA (343 nucleotides) under Gammaproteobacteria bacterium. Its description in RNAcentral is "partial 23S ribosomal RNA". It matches the Rfam family "Bacterial large subunit ribosomal RNA", at positions 2601 to 2925 of the family's 2925-position model. The record is from RNAcentral. Lineage: Bacteria; Pseudomonadati; Pseudomonadota; Gammaproteobacteria.
CGAGCUGGGUUUAGAACGUCGUGAGACAGUUCGGUCCCUAUCUGCCGUGGGCGUUUGAGAAUUGAGAGGAGCUACUCCUAGUACGAGAGGACCGGAGUGGACGAACCUCUGGUGUUCCGGUUGUUACGCCAGUAGCAUCGCCGGGUAGCUAAGUUCGGAAAGGAUAACCGCUGAAAGCAUCUAAACGGGAAGCCUACCUCGAGAUGAGUUCUCACUAAAUCUUCGAGAUUUACAAAGGGCCCUCGUAGACUACGAGGUUGAUAGGCGGGGUGUGGAAGCGUUGUAAGGCGUUAAGCUAACCCGUACUAAUUGCCCGAGCGGCUUGACCAUAUAACCGGCCGAA